Molecule: ribosomal RNA, 541 nt
Filed under: uncultured bacterium
Lineage: Bacteria
Description: bacterial SSU rRNA
Rfam family: Bacterial small subunit ribosomal RNA
Source: RNAcentral
UGAGGAAUAUUGCGCAAUGGAGGCAACUCUGACGCAGCCAUGCCGCGUGCAGGAAGAAGGCGCUACGCGUUGUAAACUGCUUUUAAUCGGAAAGAAACCCCGGGACGUGUCCCGGGUUGACGGUACCGAUGGAAUAAGCACCGGCUAACUUCGUGCCAGCAGCCGCGGUAAUACGAAGGGUGCAAGCGUUAUCCGGAUUCAUUGGGUUUAAAGGGUGCGUAGGCGGAACAAUAAGUCAGCGGUGAAAGCCCGCAGCUUAACUGCGGAAUUGCCGUUGAUACUGUUGUUCUUGAGUACGUUUGACGUGGGCGGAAUGUGCCGUGUAGCGGUGAAAUGCUUAGAUAUGGCACAGAACACCGAUAGUGAAGACAGCUCACGAAGACGAAACUGACGCUGAGGCACGAAAGCGUGGGGAUCAAACAGGAUUAGAUACCCUGGUAGUCCACGCCGUAAACGAUGAUCACUCGUGAUUGGCGAUAUACUGUCAGUCACCUAGCGAAAGCGUUAAGUGAUCCACCUGGGGAGUACGAUCGCAAGAUUG